CCUUUUGGGAGGGGUUGGAGAGGAGGGCGGCGGAGAAGGAGAGGCGGUCGAGGUCGGGCUUGUCGAGCCACCAUGCCCGGAACUCCGCUAGGGUUUGGGCGNAAAUUUCAACCAUGAAAACAUCAAAAGUGCGCCUUUUAGCUACUGCAAAUUCUUUAUAGGUUGAUCUUUCACCACCAACUAUGUGAUUUAUAAUAACUUGAAAAGUGGGAUUACUCAAUCAUUUCUUAUCGGCUGGUAGAAAUAUAAAUAUCUCCUACCAUUGCCGGAUCAGAUAAUCAGUCAUCCAAAGUUCGCUCACCAUCAUGCGAUGCAGAUAACGAGAAGGCCCACAAAUACACACCAUUUUCUCUACACAGUAGUAAGUAGCAACAUCACAAAGCAGCAUAGUUUACACUUUCACAUUGAACUACGCAGAAUCUCGAUGCCAUGCCGCACUCAGCAAACUCGAAAGGAUUACGGCUGCGGCUUCGCAGAAAAUCGCGAAGCAAGAGAAGCUAUUUGGAGCCAAAGAAUACGAGUUUGGGAUAGAAACCAUUACUUGGAAUAUCUCCACUUUGCUAGAGAAGAUAUCUUUGAUUGCUUCCCGAGAUUUGAACGUCAUUUUGCUCUGCACGACGAGGAUCAAUCGGGUGGAGCUUUCGUUUUUGAGGCCCUUGUAGAUUUCACGAAUGGUCGACACCUUGACAGGGUCGGUUCCGCAGAAUAUGACUCUCACCUGCAACGCAACGGAGAGCCGCGUACAUCUCGCGAGUUACAAAAACUAUAAACCCUAGAAGAAGAAGUAGUAGUAGUAGUAGUAGUAGUAGUGAGGAGGAGGGGGGUUUAGGGUUUAGGGUUUUGGUUUGGUUUGUAAACCUUUUGGGAGGGGUUGGAGAGGAGGGCGGCGGAGAAGGAGAGGCGGUCGAGGUCGGGCUUGUCGAGCCACCAUGCCCGGAACUCCGCUAGGGUUUGGGCGGCGCCGCCGGGGAUGGGGGAGACGUCGUAGCGGCGGUCGGCGAGCAUCUCGAGGAGGGUGCGCCGCGCCAGGUAGUACCGGUGGCUCUCCACGCCGCCGCCCUCCUCGCCGCUCUCCACCAUCGCGCUCAAGCAGCACCCUUCUCCUUCUCCCUCUCCCCCUCCCGCCUCCGCCAUUUUCUCUCUCUUUCGAUAGAAAUUGAAAAUUUCUCGACUUUUUUUUUUUUUUUUCAGUUACCCCGCCCUCUAAUUAGAAAACUUUAUUUUAAAAAUGCUCUUUUAAGUUAUUUUAAAUAUAUUUUUAAAGUACACUGAUAGAAAUAAUUAUUAUUUUUAUAAAAUUACUAUUCUUCCUUUUCAAAUAUAUACAUUUAGUCAUCACUAAUUUUUUUUAUUUAUUAUACAAAAUUAAUAUUUUGACUUAUGCUCUACUGCCGUCAAUUUUUCUUAUUUGUCUUUAAAUAAGAGAUAAAAGAGAUAUUUUGACUUUUUUUAAUUCUAAUAAAAAUUUAAUCCGAAUUUAAUUUGAGAUUACUUAUGCUUCAUUUGGUAUUGCGGGAAGAAUACUUUACGUGCGGUGAGAAAGUACGUUGGAAAAAUAGCUUAUUUGUUUCCGUACGUAAUAUUACGUUUCAUAUAUCGUGAUGAGUCAAUUACGAUAUAUUUUUUGCGGUCCCACCAGAAAACGCAGAAGCAUAUCCUUAUAUGCUUUUUUCAAACUCCAUUUUAUCUAAUAACGUUAGAUAGGCCUCAAUACCAAACUAAACCUUAAUAGAUACUAACGGCGUGAUUAUUUUUAAAUAAUAAAAAAAUAUACUAUGGGUAUAUUUGAAACAAAAAAAAAAGUAUGAAUAUAUAUAUAUAUAUAUAUAUAUAUAUAUAUGGAUAUAUAAAUAAUUAUUCCUAGAUUUUAAUACUAAAAAAAUGAAAAACUUAAUAAGACUAGUGUAAAAAUAAAUAAAGUGGCUUUUUGGAUGGAAGGGCGUAAAGAUUUACACCACUUUCUGUGUAUCUAGACAGAAUUUACAGUAUUCUUUUCUAAAAAAAUAUAAAUUUUUUAAAUGAUAAAAAUUAUGUUUUAACUAAAUCAAUUCAAAUGCAAUAUGUUGGUUGUACUACCUGAACUGAUUAUCAUCCGGUACAUGUGCAUGCUAGCCCUCAGCAACUUUUCAGAAAACCUUUGAAAAUACUUGUAGUAGUUCUCAUUCGAAAAAUGGUCUUAUAAAGAUCUAUAUAUGAGCAUUCGANGAGGAGGGCGGCGGAGAAGGAGAGGCGGUCGAGGUCGGGCUUGUCGAGCCACCAUGCCCGGAACUCCGCUAGGGUUUGGGCGGCGCCGCCGGGGAUGGGGGAGACGUCGUAGCGGCGGUCGGCGAGCAUCUCGAGGAGGGUGCGCCGCGCCAGGUAGUACCGGUGGCUCUCCACGCCGCCGCCCUCCUCGCCGCUCUCCACCAUCGCGCUCAAGCAGCACCCUUCUCCCCCUCCCCCUCCCCCUCCCGCCUCCGCCAUUUUCUCUCUCUUUCGAU
RNAcentral lists this long non-coding RNA (2480 nucleotides) under Ananas comosus (pineapple). RNAcentral's name for it is "long non-coding RNA (ACOM_LNC018958)". The record is from RNAcentral. Lineage: Eukaryota; Viridiplantae; Streptophyta; Magnoliopsida; Poales; Bromeliaceae.